This 238-nucleotide long non-coding RNA is filed under the name Elaeis guineensis (African oil palm). Its description in RNAcentral is "long non-coding RNA (EGUI_LNC017127)". The record is from RNAcentral. Lineage: Eukaryota; Viridiplantae; Streptophyta; Magnoliopsida; Arecales; Arecaceae.
ACUCUCUGGUUGCCACCUCCUUUGGUGGAGAAACUCUAGACGCCAUCUAGGGAAGAAGGAGGAUCAAAAUCCUUGCCACCCAAGGAUUUCUAGUCCCACUAGGAAUCCUUGCUGCCCCACCUUUAUUGCUGCUGUCCCCUUUCUUUUGGUCAUUGGUUGCUGGUUCCAGGUGUUCAUUAGAGGUCUAGCAAGAGGCACUUUAGAUCUGAUAGUAAGGAGAAAAGAUUGAGUUGGGAGA